GAGACAAUUCGGUAACACCACUCUUCGUGUCCCCAAUAAAAAAUAUGAAAAUACCCUCUGAUUUCAUUGUUUAUCGCUGCUUGUUGAGUCUCUCACCCCUUCUCCCUUUCCCUCACCAAACAAGAGCCAUUUAUAGGGUAUACUUCCUCGCCAUCAUUCCUCACCAUCGCGUCUCAAUUGCCUCCAUCCUCAACCGUCCCGGUGGCGGCGUCUCCCUCGGUAGCCAAAUUGUCGUCAUCGGAGGGUGGGUUCCUCUCUUAUCUCUCUCCUCUCAAAUCUGAAUCGUUUGAAACAAAGUUGCUUGAAUGGUUUCCAUCUCUCCAAAUUUCAACUUCUUGGGUUCUAACUUCUACUCCAUCUCCGAUCUCAAAUCAUUACUGAAUAACAAUAUCUCCUCUCUCUAAAUCCGACUCAACAAUGUCCGAUUUGUGUUCUUGGCUCCACAGCAGGAUCGUCGAACCCCAUCUCCAAUUUUUACGCAGGGGUGCAGAGCCUAUGCAAAUGGCAUUUUCAUCAGCUCUUAGUUAUAUGUGAUGUAGCACAAUCUCCAUCUUCUUCAGCUUCCACUGGAUCAACUCCAGCUACUCCAGGUCCACUUUCUCUUCUGAUCUUACAAAUGACCAAAUGGACCACUAAUAUGGAGUUUAUUUGGACCAAAUGGAGCAAUUCCCGGCUCUUAAAGAACCAAAUAGUCGAAGAAGAAACUGAUCAAGAUCAAGAUGGAAAAGUUUUGUUUGGACCAAUCAAUGGCCCUUCAGUUCUGAGCGCAAAACCAACCCCAGGAAUGCCAAUUGUGGAUGAUUAGGAUUGCUUGAAAUCAAUGGUAACAACAUGUAAUCGGGUAAAACUAUCCUGCAAUUUAUUUAUCUUUGUAGUUUCCUUUGUGUAAAGAAGAGAUUCAAAUUUAUACCGAUUUGGUGGUUUCCUCUUUGUAUUUGUUUGUCUCUAGGAUGCUCGGACUCGGGUACGGGUGUCGGACCCGGGUAAGGGAUCCGAGUGUCGGACAUGAGAAACUCAAAAAUCAAGGACUCGGGGACACGUUUUGAAAGGGUCCGAAACUUAUAUUUGGACUCGGGGACACGGCAAUGCAAAAACAAAAUAAAGAUUUUUUAUUUUUUAUUUGCAGAUUUUUUUAAAAAAAAGUACUGAUUAUAGUAGUUUUUUCAAUAUAUAUAAUUUAAGUAUUAGGUGAGAAGUCAAACUCCUUAGAUAAAAAUACCAUACUUUAUUGCUCAUAUUAUCAAAUAAAGUAAAAACAGAAAAAGAGGCAAAGGACUCAGGACUCAAGACUAAUAAAGUUAAAAAGCAGAAAAAGAGGUAGAUGGGAAUCAGUCACUUUCUUCCACCUACCCAACCCCACAUUAAAAAGUAAAAAAAAUUAAAACCGAAAAUCAGAACCUGCUAUUCUGCUAAUGUCGAAGAUAUUUUUUUUCAAAAAAGUCGAAGCUGCUACUCUGCUAAUGUCGACAACCACCCUUCGCUGGAGAAGAAAACCAACAACUCGGUGGUCCGAUCAACUCGGAUUUUCUGGCCGAACAAAAGCCCUAAGGUUUCGGCUCUUGAUUUGUUGUUUUCUCUUCUCAAUUUUUAGAUCUAGGGUUAGUGAGUGCCGAGUCCACUUUUUUUCCGGCGGGUCCGAUCCGGAUUCCGUGUCCGCACCCGGGUCGCGUCGUGUCGACACCGGUACGGAGGGGUGGUGAGCCGAGUCCGAGCAUCAUAGGUUUGUCUUAGUUUACAGAAAUUUAUGAUGCUCAUAUUCACCGUAUUGAGUGGAUUCAUGAUAUUCUUUCAUAUCCAUAUUUGUUUAUCUUAACAUGUGUUGAGGUUUUAAUAAUCUAUGUAGAAUGCAUAUUCUACAACAGUUUUGUAUUGGUGGUUUACCUGAUGCUUACUGUUUGUGCCACCUUUUGACUUCAUCCGGCUGUGUAGAAGGCGUUAGGCGUGAAUUUAUUUACUAAACACAUCAUUCAUGGUUUUUAAUUGGUGUUGAUUUAUAUGGACAAUAUUGGCAUAAUACCCUGUCAAUGUUCAAAUUUUUUAUAGAAAUUAUUAGUGUGUUUAUUGGUCAGUUCAAAUUUGAAUAAGACGUCAAACACACUAUGGAAAAUAAGAGCAAAUUCUUCAAACUAUAGAAGAGUUCAUUUGUUUUGUUGUUCUCAAUUUAGUUAGAGGACCGGAGAUAGCAUUUUUUUUAUUGCAAUGGCCGAGGUGGGUUAGUUUAGAUUAAUAGUUGUUGUCACACUUUUACUAAGAGCACUAUUUGAAGAACAAUGAAUAAAGACUGGCUACGAUUCUUUUCUUCUCACUGCCCUCUGGUUAGGGCAUGUCAGUGCUUCACUCCUGAAUUGGUUUCAUUCUUUUAUUUGUGUUUGUUUGUUUGCUUCCUUUUUUCUGUGGCUCUUAGAAUUUGAUAUUUGUUGAUUUUCUUUGGUGAACAUUUUCUUUUCCACAGGGAUAUACCAUUGGAAGCAUGCUUACACAAAGUACCAACAGAUCCAUUAAAACGUGGGUCUCAAUUGCCAGUUAAGUGGCCAUCACGGUUGGAUAAAACUCCUUAAUGGUUAAAAGACUCCGAGGCUGGGGUUUAUGGAAAAACAACUCCUAAGGACUUCAAUGCUGACUAUAAGCACUGGAAACGUGUUGUUGUUGAUUCAUAUAUGUAUGGUAAUGGUAUUCAUUGGUUGUCGGUGAGAAAUGUGAUGGACAUGAGAGCUAUAUACGGAGGGUUGCACACAAUUUUUUAGUACCCACUUUUAUAGUGUCAGUUAUCAGAGGGAGUUGCUCUCAACAAGGAUGCCAACAGUAUAGAAGAAGAGAAGGGUUGCCAAUGCCAUCAUCGAAACAUUAAUAUAACAUCAACAUUAUGUUUUUAUUUUAUUUUUUUAUCUUUUUAUUUUUAAUCCUAAUAAUUAACCAUGUUUAAACUAUUUAAUAGAAAAAGUUAGGAAAAUAACGAACUUAAUAGUAUAAGUGUACCGUUGGCAAUAUAAUUUGAAGUAAGUGUACCAUUGGCAAAAGUCAAUAAUAAGAGUGUAAUUAUGGGAGUUUCCUUUUAAAUAUGAACUUUGUGAACAAUUUUUUAACCAAUAUUUAUAUUUAGUGGUAGUAAUACAAUUUUAAGUUUUUAUUUAUAUA
Spinacia oleracea (spinach) is the source of this 3135-nucleotide long non-coding RNA. RefSeq lists it as uncharacterized. The transcript is spliced from 5 exons. The record is from RefSeq and is a predicted model, not a curated record. NCBI's taxonomy places the organism in Eukaryota, Viridiplantae, Streptophyta, Magnoliopsida, Caryophyllales, Amaranthaceae.